Molecule: non-coding RNA, 78 nt
Organism: Colletotrichum sp. SAR 10_99
Lineage: Eukaryota; Fungi; Ascomycota; Sordariomycetes; Glomerellales; Glomerellaceae
Source: the annotation of a GenBank genome assembly
GGACCCAUGGCGCAACGGUAGCGCGUUCGACUCCAGUGAGACAUCGAAAGGUUAUCCGUUCAAAUCGGGUUGGGUUCA